GCAAGUCGAGCGGACCGACGGGAGCUUGCUCCCUUAGGUCAGCGGCGGACGGGUGAGUAACACGUGGGUAACCUGCCUGUAAGACUGGGAUAACUCCGGGAAACCGGGGCUAAUACCGGAUGCUUGAUUGAACCGCAUGGUUCAAUCAUAAAAGGUGGCUUUUAGCUACCACUUGCAGAUGGACCCGCGGCGCAUUAGCUAGUUGGUGAGGUAACGGCUCACCAAGGCGACGAUGCGUAGCCGACCUGAGAGGGUGAUCGGCCACACUGGGACUGAGACACGGCCCAAACUCCUACGGGAGGCAGCAGUAGGGAAUYYUCCGCAAUGGACGAAAGUCUGACGGARCAMCGCCGCGUGAGUGAUGAAGGUUUUCGGAUCGUAAAACUCUGUUGUUAGGGAARAACAAGUACCGUUCGAAUAGGGCGGUACCUUGACGGUACCUAACCAGAAAGCCACGGCUAACUACGUGCCAGCAGCCGCGGUAAUACGUAGGUGGCAAGCGUUGUCCGGAAUUAUUGGGCGUAAAGCGCGCGCAGGCGGUUUCUUAAGUCUGAUGUGAAAGCCCCCGGCUCAACCGGGGAGGGUCAUUGGAAACUGGGGAACUUGAGUGCAGAARARGARAGUGGAAUUCCACGUGUAGCGGUGAAAUGCGUAGAGAUGUGGAGGAACACCAGUGGCGAAGGCGACUCUCUGGUCUGUAACUGACGCUGAGGCGCGAAAGCGUGGGGAGCGAACAGGAUUAGAUACCCUGGUAGUCCACGCCGUAAACGAUGAGUGCUAAGUGUUAGAGGGUUUCCGCCCUUUAGUGCUGCAGCAAACGCAUUAAGCACUCCGCCUGGGGAGUACGGUCGCAAGACUGAAACUCAAAGGAAUUGACGGGGGCCCGCACAAGCGGUGGAGCAUGUGGUUUAAUUCGAAGCAACGCGAAGAACCUUACCAGGUCUUGACAUCCUCUGACAACCCUAGAGAUAGGGCUUCCCCUUCGGGGGCAGAGUGACAGGUGGUGCAUGGUUGUCGUCAGCUCGUGUCSUGARAUGUUGGGUUAAGUCCCGCAACGAGCGCAACCCUUGAUCUUARUUGCCAGCAUUCAGUUGGGCACUCUAAGGKGACUGCCGGUGACAAACCGGAGGAAGGUGGGGAUGACGUCAAAUCAUCAUGCCCCUUAUGACCUGGGCUACACACGUGCUACAAUGGGCAGAACAAAGGGCAGCGAAGCCGCGAGGCUAAGCCAAUCCCACAAAUCUGUUCUCAGUUCGGAUCGCAGUCUGCAACUCGACUGCGUGAAGCUGGAAUCGCUAGUAAUCGCGGAUCAGCAUGCCGCGGUGAAUACGUUCCCGGGCCUUGUACACACCGCCCGUCACACCACGAGAGUUUGUAACACCCGAAGUCGGUGAGGUAACCUUUGG
This 1406-nucleotide ribosomal RNA is filed under the name Bacillus licheniformis. RNAcentral's name for it is "bacterial SSU rRNA". The record is from RNAcentral. Lineage: Bacteria; Bacillati; Bacillota; Bacilli; Caryophanales; Bacillaceae.